GUCGGCGCCGAGCGCGCAGCCUGCUCCACCGCCGCCUCUUGGUCCCGCCGCCGCCGCUGCCGCCGCCGCCGGGCAGUGGAGGUGACUUUCCUGCGCAGCGCCGCUUCUGAGGGCGGAGAACCCACAGGGAGUGCGACCCCUUUGCACGCUGUGAGUGGGCAACUGUCCGAGGGACUCGAGCCGAUCGAAGGCUGGACGCCCUAUAGGGCUCUUGGCAGUCCACGAAAGACCUGGAGUCCGCCUCCCCAUUUCUCCGGUCGGUGAGUGGCAGGAGGAAAUCGCCAAACAUGUUUUCCCGCUUUGCCUCCCCAACUCGGAAACUUGCAACUUGCCGUGUCCUGGAGGUUGAGACAAUUUGGGGUCUCUUGGCUGCCGUCCAACAGAUUUAUCUCUGAGGGCAGUGUCCUUGGUGAGAGGUCCAAGUAGGUGUGGGCGACAUUGUCCUCCAUCUCAUGAGGGAGCAGCCCUGCACACUAGGGCCCAAAACUCUGCGAAGGAGCUUGGAAGUUCUUCAUCCGUUCCACUUGUUUUGCUACUCCACACACCCUUCUAGGACAUGUUGAUUGCCAACUGCUCUGUGCAGCUUUCCCAUAGCUGUCUGUUCCCGUGCAUUUCGGAGCACCAAGCAAAUACGAGCAGAGAGACCUGGAAAAAAAAAUGAUGAAGACAGUAUUAAUGAUAAAAUUAACAUGGCUGAGUGAAUUGUCAAUGCAAGUUCCUUUACUAACUCUUUGUUAAGUUUUGCUUUGUACUCCUUACAUCCUCUUUCUCUUAAGCCAUUGUUUUAAUUUCUUCUCGUUAUCAUUUUUAAAAGUAACAGAAAUACAGCUUUCUUCCUACCUUCACGAUUGACUUGGUGGAGGUUGGGUUGCAAAGAGGAAGCAGUAAGAAAAAAUAAUUAUUCUAUACAUUCACAAGUCCUUCAAGGCACAAAAUAAAAGUAAGAAAUAGAAAAUAUGUCCUUUCUCCUAAUAAAGGUCUUUAUAAUAAAAUUUAAAUGAAGUUUUGUGUUUCAUAACAGCUUCCCAAAUACUGUUGUAGAUACUAAAAUGUGCCUGUAUGUAUUUCCUUCCACAAUAAUAAUAGUAAUAAUAAACUUUUUUAGGUCCAAAUUAAACAUUUCUCAGCUUAAAUUUCUAUCCUCAAUCCAACAUUUAUUAUAUCAAAACUUGAUUUUUAAAAAUAAAACUUUCUUGGAAUUCAUCAUUGAUGUCUGUUUGAUGGCCUCGUGAACAUCAGGAAGAUGAAAUGAAAUGGUUCAAGACUGGAACAAUACCAUUAUCUGCAUCUUGACUCCUGGGAGAUAAUGAUAUCUCCUGCUUUCCUCUACAGACCUACCAGUUUUCUCUGCUUUAAGGGAAAAUCCAAAUGCAUGAGACCUGUGCAUUCUUCUACAUAAUCAAGAGUCUGGUUUCUUCCAUCGGAGUGUAUGGAGUUAAAGUGGUAUACUGUACAUGGCAUGGUGUGAUAGGUGGGAAUAUGAGCUACUGGGGGAAAAAGUUCUUACUUCUAGCCACUUAUACAAAGAGAGGCCAUCUCAGUGUAAUCUGAAAAAAUGCUCACUUUAUAAUGCUGUAUCCAAGGCCCAUCAAAAACUAAAUGGAUGUAUUUGUACUAAAAGUUGGGGAAAGUUGAAUAUCUAAACCUCUGAGCAAAUCUUUCUUAAUUUAGAAAAUAAAAUAGAGCAUCAUUGUAAUACUUUUCAGUUUCCUGGACAUUCAACUCCACAUCAUGGAUAAAUAAAAUAGUUAUUUGUCCAUUCACUCAUUCAUUUGUACAUUAAUCAACAGAGAGAGUGGUGAAAAACACUAAUGCUUUGUAUUAUUUAUAGGUUUAAAAUACAAAACAAAUUACUUAAAAUGGUUCCUGCUCUAGAUGUAGUCUUUCAGAGUAGUAUUUUCCAAACUAGUCUGGUCAGUGAAGUCAUCUUAGCAGUUUAGAAAAAUACUCAUGCCAGAGCCCCACACGCACAGAUUCUGAUUCAGUUCUUUUCAGGUAGGGCCUGAGCACAGGAAUUUUUAAAAGCUCUCCAGUGGCUUUAAUUUUCAGAAAAGAUUGAGAACCACUGGCCUAAAAGGAAAGAUAAGGUAGUCUAGAAGGAAAGAGUCCUUAACAAAGGAAAUGUUAAAAGUAUGAAAUUUUAGUAGAUAGGCUGGAUUGUCAUUUUGUGUUGAUCCCCAUAAGAGGACAUUGAGGAUCACCACUCCCAAAACCUCAUCACCUACGCUGCCUUUUAGAGAUGGAGUUGGCAAUUUGCCCAUUUACUGUCAGUAAACUUGCAUGACUUGUAAAGGUCCAGGUUACAGUUUAUUCACCUGACCUAGGAACUUUAUGUACUCUAGUUACCAGAAAAUGAGUGCCUGUAAACAAAACGUGUCUUUACCAGUGCUGAUGUAAUGCUAUCAGUACCUACUUGUGAAAUGCCUACUAUAUCGUGGACCUGGUCCUAAUUUCUUUACAUUGAAUUUCGCAGUCUUAUUUAAUUUUCCAGAUUACUUUGGAAAGCCUCAUCAGUAAUUACAAACCACACGGAGCAUUUGAUUUUGUUCCCUCAACAUUGCCCAUCUUCACUUUAAUUAUAGUUUCACAAAUUGUUACGUUUUCAAAUUUAUACUUGUUUUCAGUGACCACAUUUUAUGUCUACUGAUUCUUUGUAUUAUGUAGGUUAAGUCCUAAAUCUUGUAGUAAUGUCUCCAAAUCACAUACAGAAUGUGUUACUUUGGGGAAAAUAGCUUUUAGACAGUUAAUCCUAUCUGUGAUUUACAAGAGUCUUAUAAAAAUUAUUCAACAAACCAUGGUACUUCCUGGCAGGCAUUCUUUGCUAGAUUUUGGAGUUAGUUUUUCUUCAAGGGUUGAAGCCCUCUAUAGAUGCACAUGAGAAUGAAAUGUCAUAUAGAGGGGUUGAUUUUGAAAUGCCAGAUAUUAAAACUAAAAUCAAAGCCUGCCGUAUUGUAUAACUAAAUUAAUAUUUAGCCCUUCACUGGCCUUUCUGAUUUAUGGGCUAGUUUUCCAGUGACAGCUGAUGUCGCAAUAUUUCUAGGGAAAAGAAAGCCUCAUUCUUUUAAAAUACCAUUCAUUUUAUACCUCAUAUGGCCCACCUAGGAUUUUAAGCCCUCAUUGGACAUGUGUAUACCCAAUGAGGUUACAUGGUGAAGUAGCUAUUUGUUUCCUUAGAAUCUAGCCAAUCCUGAGUGCUAUACAUUUUAAAUUCAAAAGGACAUCAUUAAUGGUUUUCAUGGGAAAUGUUUACAUGUUCUCAAUUUACCAGUUAGCAUUUACUGUUGUCCAGGGUUAUUUAACAUUUUUCUAAAGUAAUUUAAAUGUAAAAUGGAAU
RNAcentral lists this long non-coding RNA (3334 nucleotides) under Homo sapiens (human). Its description in RNAcentral is "TOX divergent transcript, transcript variant 2 (TOX-DT)". Lineage: Eukaryota; Metazoa; Chordata; Mammalia; Primates; Hominidae. The record is from RNAcentral.